Molecule: non-coding RNA, 279 nt
Organism: Vicia faba (fava bean)
Lineage: Eukaryota; Viridiplantae; Streptophyta; Magnoliopsida; Fabales; Fabaceae
Source: the annotation of a GenBank genome assembly
AUGACAGUCAUCGAUUGUUAUCCCUAUUUCUCCGUCAUCGAUCAAAAUCGCGGCUUCCCCUUCAUCGAUCGAAAUUUCUACUUCUCUUUCACCGUUGGAAAUCUCUGCUUCAACGUUCUCUUCGUUGGAAAUCGCUGCUUCAACUUUCGAAUUAGUUACUUUACCAUUCGAAAUCGCUCACGGAUUUCUCAAAACCUAAUACUUGAGAUCCUUGUUGCGGAAUCUCUUUCCGAUCUUCGCUACGGUACAUUUUCUCCGAUUGAUUUUAAGAUAUCUUAA